Molecule: ribosomal RNA, 115 nt
Filed under: Peromyscus maniculatus bairdii (prairie deer mouse)
Lineage: Eukaryota; Metazoa; Chordata; Mammalia; Rodentia; Cricetidae
Source: RNAcentral
GUCUAUGGCCAUACCACCCUGAAUGCACCAAAUCUCAUCCCAUCUCAGAAGCUAAGACAGCCAAGCCUGGUUAGUACUUGGAUAGGAGACCUGGGUGAAAUUAGAUUUUAAGAAU